RNAcentral lists this ribosomal RNA (426 nucleotides) under uncultured prokaryote. RNAcentral describes it as "bacterial SSU rRNA". It matches the Rfam family "Bacterial small subunit ribosomal RNA", at positions 355 to 796 of the family's 1533-position model. The record is from RNAcentral.
UGGGGAAUUUUCCGCAAUGGGCGCAAGCCUGACGGAGCAAUACCGCGUGAGGGAGGAAGGCUUUUGGGUUGUAAACCUCUUUUCUCAAGGAAGAAGAUCUGACGGUACUUGAGGAAUCAGCAUCGGCUAACUCCGUGCCAGCAGCCGCGGUAAUACGGAGGAUGCAAGCGUUAUCCGGAAUGAUUGGGCGUAAAGCGUCUGCAGGUGGCUAUGCAAGUGGGGUGUGAAAGCCGCCAGCUCAACUGGCGGAGGCCAUCCCAAACUGCGUCACUUGAGGCCUGUAGAGGUAUGUGGAAUUGCCGGUGUAGUGGUGAAAUGCGUAGAGAUCGGCAGGAACACCCAGGGGGAAGCCAGCAUACUGGACAGGUCCUGACACUCAGGUGCGACAGCGUGGGGAGCGAACCGGAUUAGAUACCCGUGUAGUCC